RNAcentral lists this ribosomal RNA (482 nucleotides) under Climacocystis borealis. RNAcentral describes it as "eukaryotic LSU rRNA". The stretch from base 142 to 295 matches the Rfam family "5.8S ribosomal RNA". Lineage: Eukaryota; Fungi; Basidiomycota; Agaricomycetes; Polyporales; Climacocystaceae. The record is from RNAcentral.
CCAAUUCCUAUACCUCUGUGCACCUUUCAUAGGUUGGUUUGUGGCUCUCUGCCUUGCUGCAGAAGUAGCUCUGACCUUCCCGUGCUUACAUUUAUACGUCUCAGUUUAGAAUGUCUUAUUGCAGUCUAAUGCAUAUAAUACAACUUUCAGCAACGGAUCUCUUGGCUCUCGCAUCGAUGAAGAACGCAGCGAAAUGCGAUAAGUAAUGUGAAUUGCAGAAUUCAGUGAAUCAUCGAAUCUUUGAACGCACCUUGCGCUCCUUGGUAUUCCGAGGAGCAUGCCUGUUUGAGUGUCAUGGUAUUCUCAACCCUCCAAAUCUUUGCGGAAAUGGAUGGGCUUGGAUGUGGAGGUUUAUGCUGGCUUCUAUAUGAGGUCGGCUCCUCUGAAAUGCAUUAGGCACGAAUCUUACUUAAUGUGCCUCAGUGUGAUAAUUGUCUAGCGCUGUGGUCAUGAUGUAUAAUAUAUUUGCGCUUCUAACCUGU